AACGAACGCUGGCGGCGUGCCUAACACAUGCAAGUCGAACGCGAAAGGGGGCAACCCCCGGUAGCGUGGCAGACGGGUGAGUAACACGUGGGUAACCUACCCGGAGGUGGGGGAUAACCCUUCGAAAGGAGGGCUAAUACCGCAUAAUACCGUGGGGACCUCGGUCCUUGCGAUCAAAGCUGGCCUCUGUUUACAAGCUAGCGCCACCGGAUGGGCCCGCGCCCCAUUAGCUAGUUGGUGAGGUAACGGCUCACCAAGGCGACGAUGGGUAGCCGGCCUGAGAGGGCGAUCGGCCACACUGGAACUGCGACACGGUCCAGACUCCUACGGGAGGCAGCAGUGAGGAAUCUUGCGCAAUGGGCGAAAGCCUGACGCAGCGACGCCGCGUGGAGGAUGAAGGUCUUCGGAUUGUAAACUCCUGUCGAGUGGGACGAAUGCCGUGAGGGUGAAUACCCCUUGCGGUUGACGGUACCGCUGGAGGAAGCCCCGGCUAACUCCGUGCCAGCAGCCGCGGUAAUACGGAGGGGGCUAGCGUUGUUCGGAAUCAUUGGGCGUAAAGGGCGCGUAGGCGGCCGAUCAAGUCGGAGGUGAAAUCCCUCGGCUCAACUGAGGAAUUGCCUUCGAUACUGUUCGGCUUGAGUCCUGGAGAGGGUAGCGGAAUUCCCGGUGUAGCGGUGAAAUGCGUAGAGACCGGGAAGAACACCAGUGGCGAAGGCGGCUACCUGGACAGGUACUGACGCUGAAGCGCGAAAGCUAGGGGAGCAAACAGGAUUAGAUACCCUGGUAGUCCUAGCUGUAAACGAUGGGCACUUGGUGUUGCGGG
RNAcentral lists this ribosomal RNA (823 nucleotides) under uncultured bacterium. Its description in RNAcentral is "bacterial SSU rRNA". It matches the Rfam family "Bacterial small subunit ribosomal RNA", at positions 28 to 829 of the family's 1533-position model. The record is from RNAcentral.